Schistosoma mansoni is the source of this 45-nucleotide non-coding RNA. The record is from Rfam. Lineage: Eukaryota; Metazoa; Platyhelminthes; Trematoda; Strigeidida; Schistosomatidae.
AUCAAGCUGACGAGUCGCGAAUAAGACAAAACGCACGUUUUGGAU